This 253-nucleotide ribosomal RNA is filed under the name uncultured bacterium. RNAcentral's name for it is "partial 16S ribosomal RNA". It matches the Rfam family "Bacterial small subunit ribosomal RNA", at positions 524 to 776 of the family's 1533-position model. The record is from RNAcentral.
UACGGGGGGGGCUAGCGUUGUUCGGAAUUACUGGGCGUAAAGGGCGCGUAGGCGGUCUGCUAAGUUGGAUGUGAAAACUCUGGGCUUAACCCAGAGCCUGCAUUCAAUACUGACAGGCUAGAGUUCUGGAGGGGAUAGCGGAAUUCCUGGUGUAGCGGUGAAAUGCGUAGAUAUCAGGAGGAACACCGGUGGCGAAGGCGGCUCACUGGCCCGUUACCGACGCUCAGGCGCGAUAGCGUGGGGAGCAAACAGG